Ribosomal RNA from Chaetomium globosum CBS 148.51, 120 nucleotides. The record is from Rfam. NCBI's taxonomy places the organism in Eukaryota, Fungi, Ascomycota, Sordariomycetes, Sordariales, Chaetomiaceae.
ACAUACGACCAUAUCCACGAGAAAGCACGGGAUCCCGUCCGCUCUCCCCGAAUUAACCUCGUGAGAGCCGAAUCAGUAGUUGGGUCGGUGACGACCAGCGAAUCCUCGGUGUUGUAUGUU